RNAcentral lists this ribosomal RNA (617 nucleotides) under uncultured Lachnospiraceae bacterium. RNAcentral's name for it is "bacterial SSU rRNA". It matches the Rfam family "Bacterial small subunit ribosomal RNA", at positions 88 to 723 of the family's 1533-position model. The record is from RNAcentral. Lineage: Bacteria; Bacillati; Bacillota; Clostridia; Lachnospirales; Lachnospiraceae.
UGACUGAGUGGCGGACGGGUGAGUAACGCGUGGGUAACCUGCCUUGCACAGGGGGAUAACAGUUAGAAAUGACUGCUAAUACCGCAUAACCCGCUAGUACCGCAUGGUACGGACGGAAAAGAUUUAUCGGUGUAAGAUGGACCCGCGUCUGAUUAGCUAGUUGGUGAGGUAACGGCUCACCAAGGCGACGAUCAGUAGCCGGCUUGAGAGAGUGAUCGGCCACAUUGGGACUGAGACACGGCCCAAACUCCUACGGGAGGCAGCAGUGGGGAAUAUUGCACAAUGGGGGAAACCCUGAUGCAGCGACGCCGCGUGAGUGAAGAAGUAUUUCGGUAUGUAAAGCUCUAUCAGCAGGGAAGAAAAUGACGGUACCUGACUAAGAAGCCCCGGCUAACUACGUGCCAGCAGCCGCGGUAAUACGUAGGGGGCAAGCGUUAUCCGGAUUUACUGGGUGUAAAGGGAGCGUAGGUGGUCUGGUAAGUCAGAUGUGAAAACCCGGGGCUUAACUCCGGGAUUGCAUUUGAAACUGUUAGACUAGAGUGCAGGAGAGGUAAGUGGAAUUCCUAGUGUAGCGGUGAAAUGCGUAGAUAUUAGGAGGAACACCAGUGGCGAAGGCG